This is a non-coding RNA of Erythranthe guttata (spotted monkey flower), 468 nucleotides long. NCBI's taxonomy places the organism in Eukaryota, Viridiplantae, Streptophyta, Magnoliopsida, Lamiales, Phrymaceae. The record is from RefSeq and is a predicted model, not a curated record.
AAAAGUAUAUACUUGCAAAAAAAAUAAAAACAACCCUAAAAGCAAACAAAGUCUUAAAUUUCCCAACAAACACGCCUUAAUCUGACCUCACCGUAUUCAACGGUCAGAUUUCGCAUUUCGCCAAUUGUAAUCUCCUACACCGCACCCGCAUCACAACGAAGCCACACCCUCAGCAAACACAUCCUCCAAUAGCACCCAGACACGUGUCCAUUUCCGAUAAACAUUCAACGGUCAUUCAUUCGAUCAUGUUUCCUUCAUUUCUAUUAUUAACCCUACAUUUUGCGGAGACUUUUUCUGAAUCUUCACCUCUCCUCUACGCAUCCCAGUACUGUUUCAGUUUUGUGCAUUAAAAAUGAGUCGUCCACAAGAACCACAUAGGCCCUUUCUCCCAUUCGGUAACCCUUUCCGAAUGAUUUCACCAAAGGGUUCAUAUCUAUCUCCAAAACUUCUUUCUUUAUUGAAUACUUU